This is a long non-coding RNA of Lactuca sativa (garden lettuce), 1553 nucleotides long. RefSeq lists it as uncharacterized. The record is from RefSeq and is a predicted model, not a curated record. NCBI's taxonomy places the organism in Eukaryota, Viridiplantae, Streptophyta, Magnoliopsida, Asterales, Asteraceae.
AUAUAAUGAAAAUCGAAUAGUAUGAGUGACUAGGUUUCAGUUACAUAACAUGAUAAAGAACAUUCAAUCUCCAGACAAUGAUAUUUGAAUUAGUUAUAUGCAAGAAGGUUAGUGAUACCACACAGGUUUGCUAGGUCUCUGUGAUAUUUUUGAAGGUUUGAACAUAAAUUAUUGAAAAAAAAAAUAGAGAUAAUCAUUGUGGUAGAAAGUCAUAUGAUUGUGUUCUAUCUGAUAUGAACUUAACAAAAAAAAAUUUAAGAACUAUAAGAAGCAAGCAUUUCGUCAAGCACCUGGUGGGCAAAAGCUGAAAGUACGCCUCCUCUGACAAAAAAAGAAAUCGACCUCUGUUACAAAAUGUUUGGUUUAUAAUUAUGAAAUCAGCACCAUAAUCCGGAGAUCUGUUUAUCCACCAAAUCGGUUCCCUCUGAAUCGCAAGAAACUAACAUCAUUUUCCCACCACCAUCGAUUUCUUUAAAAGCACAGGUACCAAUUUCAUAGUACCAAUUUUUCAAUUCGGUUUCUACAAAGAAAUCUUCAAUCGAUUUCAAGUGUCGUAAGACGAAGAUUUUCUACUUUUCUUUUUAUGUGGUUAGUCAAAGCUUCAAACGAACUCAAGAUAAAUCCUAGCAAGGUCUUGAAACAAUUUGAUCAAAGUGUCAUUUAAGCCAAAAUCGCAAUAAACCCAUCAUGGUAAGUACCCUUAUAAAAGAUAAACCAUUGUGCAGCUUCUAGCAAGCUAAAAGAUCAUCAACAUAGUAUCAAACUGUAAUUUAUUCAUAAAUUCAGUUCUUUUAAUGGACGCCCACAUAAUGCUCGACAAAAUGUCUAAAAGAGUUGUCUCUUUUGAAUUGCAUAAGAAAGGGCAUGAUUAGGGGGUAGGUCACACUGUUUAAGUUGAAGGUUGGUCAUAGUUGAAGUCAUAUGUCCAAUGUUUAACAACCAUUUUAUUGCCUCUGCUUCAUAAUACAAGUAUAACAUGGAAUUAAGUAAAAUCCAAGUCACAUAAUUUGUAGGUAAAACAACUAAUAAAGCAACCAAGUUACACUCUUCUACUAAUUUAUGCAAGAAAGUGGAUUUCUUAUCGGUUUAUGCAUUAAUUUACUAAUACGCAUGGUUGCAGAAAUCGGGAUUAAUUGGCGAUUAAUCGUGGAUUAAUCGCUUUGUGUUCUCCAACCGUCGAUAAUUAGGGCAUUAAUCGGGAAUAUAGGAUUAAUCGGGUUUGACGGGAUUAAUCGGCCUUGGCGGGAUUAAUCGGUCAACAAAAGUCAAAAAAUCGAAAAAAAGUCAAAAAAGUCAAAAAAAAAGCCAAAAAAAAGGUCAAAAAAAUUUUAAAAAAUUCAAAAAACCAACAUUCUUUUUUUACUCCAAAAUUUUCAAAUUUUCAAAAUUUCAAAUUUUAUACCAAAAUGUUCAUAUUUUCGUAUUUCCAAAUUUCCAAAUUACAAUUUUUCUAAUUUUCUAAUUUUGAAGCACUUGUUUUUCUUAAGAUAUAUUCAUAUUUAAUUAAUUUUAAUAGUUUAUUAAUAAUCUAUGGUCCCCGAUUAAUCCUUGAU